GAUCCUGGCUCAGGAUGAACGCUAGCUACAGGCUUAACACAUGCAAGUCGAGGGGCAGCAUGAACUUAGCUUGCUAAGUUUGAUGGCGACCGGCGCACGGGUGAGUAACACGUAUCCAACCUUCCCGUUACUCUGGGAUAGCCUUUCGAAAGAAAGAUUAAUACCGGAUAGUAUCGAGAGAUUGCAUGAUAACCCGAUUAAAGAUUCAUCGGUAACGGAUGGGGAUGCGUUCCGAUUAGA
This 240-nucleotide ribosomal RNA is filed under the name uncultured bacterium. RNAcentral describes it as "partial 16S ribosomal RNA". It matches the Rfam family "Bacterial small subunit ribosomal RNA", at positions 15 to 245 of the family's 1533-position model. The record is from RNAcentral.